Spinacia oleracea (spinach) is the source of this 2510-nucleotide long non-coding RNA. RefSeq lists it as uncharacterized. The record is from RefSeq and is a predicted model, not a curated record. The transcript has 2 exons. NCBI's taxonomy places the organism in Eukaryota, Viridiplantae, Streptophyta, Magnoliopsida, Caryophyllales, Amaranthaceae.
CCAUUUAAUCCAAGAGCUCAUAUUUCAACCGAUCAAAUAAAAAAUUAAGGGUUCUUUCUAGCGUGAAUGACUUCCUUCUUUCAACUCCAUUUCUCUCUUUCUCGUUUCUCUCUCUUAUAGUCUUAUUCCAAUUUUCUCCCUCCUCCUGGACAUUAUCUCUGCUCUACGAUUCUCACCUUCUUCAAGUUGUCCCUUCGAAUUUCUUCAAUUUUCGCCAAGUAAGUUUACAAUUGUUAGAUUUCUUAUUCAAUUAUUUUCCAUUUUGAUUGUUGAAAUUUGGGUUUCGAAAUUCUUUGUAUAGUGUUCCGCGAUUUUGAUGGAUAAACUUAGGGCUUUUAAAAUUGUGGUUUUGUUUCUGUUUGUGCUACUCCGAUUGCUAUAUUAGGGAUUUUAAUUGCUAUCUUGUUUUCGUUUUUGCAAUUGUCAUUGCUAAUUCAAAGCGUAUUUAUAAUGAGGUCCUAUGUGAAUUCUUCAAUGCAAUGGUUAUUUCAAUUUGGCUUCUGCGAUUGAAAGGGCAGCUAGCAAUACUCAGUAAGCUUGCUAAGAGUAUCGAGUCUUUGACUGACACUCUGGAAGUUGUUAACUAUACAGAUUCCUAACCACUGCGGGCUGAACUACUUCGCUCAAGUAAAGCCAGACAUUGUACAGCGCGUGUAUGGCAUCAUCAAUGUAACAUCCAUUACGAUUAUUAGUUAGAAAGGGCGGCAUAGUUUCGCAAGUCAAGGGCAAGGUGACUUGUGGCUGACUCGGUAAGUUAUAACUCCUUUAUGUUGGCAAUUUCAUCACUGAGAAAACUCCUAACAAGCUCUACUAUUUUUUGACCAGUGCAUCUAAAUUCUGCCUAAAUGUCUUAUACAUAUUAAUGAUUGCUUGAAUGGUUUCAGAAUUUGAUAACUUAAGCAAUAAAGGAUAGGAGAUAGUGUGUUGCCCGUAUCCAACUUUUGUUUUACUUCUGAUUGAUGAGUUGUCUUUGCUUAGUGUCAGAAGGCUUCCCAUGAUUUCAUUAUUAGUUGUGUACUUCAUGGCUUGUUGUUAGGCACAAUUUGAGAGUGACAUGGGUUCUGAUAGUUUUUGGUGCAGGCAGUUGGGGAGUGUCUUGUUUGUGAUCCUGCAGUAUUCUGGAGUCAAAAUUAUUUAUUCCUGCACUGCUGGUCUUGUGGUUGUUUUGAAAUCAUGGAUCAGCUAGGUGGUUCUGAGAUUUUGUUGAUGCAAUCUUGCUUCAGUGUUGACCUGCAUUGACUGAUUAGCAGCUGCAUUAUAUUGACUAUUCUCAGGAGUGUGGUUGCUGCAGGGAGGGGGAGUGGGUACUAGUGCAGAUUUGGUUUAGCCUGGAUUCCUAGUAGUGGUUUCAGUUCGUCUAAGUAGUAGCUUUGGGUAGCUGACUAGCUGUAGCAUUAGGUAUUCUGGUGUGCGAUAUUUAGAGUGUUUAGGUCUUUGAGUGUGUUAAUAUGUCAACUUAGGAGCCUAUAUUAAUCCUUAGCCUCAUGAAGAUGGUAGGAAAGCUAACUAGUUUUUUUAGUAACAUAACUGAAGUAAGUAAAUUAAUAGAACUUAGUAGUAAAUAAAAAGUUGCAGAAGUAGAUAUACAAUUAAAUGGUCAAAAGUGAUAAAUGAGUAUAGAAACUUCGAGUAAUUAAGCAAGAGUUGCAGGCCCUUAGUUCAAGUAUUACUUACACAAAUAAGCUUCUGGUGAAGCAGAUAGUGGAGCCAAAAUGAGCAUAUCCUACCACUGACUAUAAAAGCAUCCAUCAUUUAAACCACCAUUCCAACUGCUUCACAGACUGCAGACCACAAUAAAGCAGACCACGUAAGUACAAACCCUCAACAACUACUAGAAAUGAACUAGGAAAACCCUGCCUGACAUGAAUCAUACCACCACUGAUAUGAGCAAACUAAACAGACCUGUCGUAACUAACUCAACACUUCAAGGAAUAGAAGAUGCAACCUUGCGUUAGUUCAUUUCCUUUAAAUUUUAUUAAUUGAGUUCAUUCUGAAUUGAUUAUUUAAUUAUCUUUUAUUUUAAUUAUCUAUGUAAAUGGGUGGGUUCGGGGAUUGCAGAGUAUUUGAUUGAGUAUGGAUGAUUAGUUCUUCUUCCUUGUGAGUAAUUAUGGCUGAUUGAUGUUGGUUGGAGUUGAAUGCGCCACAAAGAUAGAAGCAUAUAUGAAAUCAGAUUGGUAUCCUCUUAUCUCAAUUCCUUACUUUCCUGUUAUUCUUUCUCAAUUGUGAAUCUUCUGUUCUUCCUCCCUCUUUUUGCAGAUACCUGAAAAUUUUUGAGUGGUGCAGGAAGAUAAUUAGAAGCGCAUAAAGAGAAUAACAUCGUAUUUUUAUAUUUAUAUUUUUAAAUGAUAAUUUUUUUUCUCAUCUUAAUAAUUCGUCAUUUACUUAUUUUGAUGUAAAGUCAUGUCGUUCGACAAUGAGAUUUUUGAGAGGUACUAAUUAUGUAAUGACUUAAAUUAUUUGUAGAUACAUUUUUUUUGGAGUUAAUAAUACCAAUAUUGAUUUUCAUGAAA